GGUGGAGAGUGAGGGAGGGAGGGGAGGGAGAGUAGGAGGGAGGGUUGUGCAAGGGAGGGAGGGAUGCCGCGAUAUACUGUCAAGACAAAACGCCUGAGAAAGAUGAUGAAGCUCAUUUCUGGAGGCUGAAGAUUUGAUUUGCUGCAAAUUAAUAAUAGACAGCCCUCGCUUUGAGGAGAGGAGCCUCUUUAUUAUGAUAAUGAUAGAGUCAUAAUGAAGCCCACUGGUGAAUAGUUAUUUAUCCUUUUAUCCACUGUCUGUCUUCUCUAUGGCUGUCGGUGUCUCUCUGCCAUCCUUUCCAUCCUCUCCGAAUCACUGUUCACUCCAGCUCUCGCUCUUUCUCACUCUCUCACACAAUCAAUCAUUUGCAAACCCCAUGUGCCCCCCUCCCUCCCCCCCCCCUCCCGUUCCUCAUCUCAACACGUAUUCACUCAUUCGCUUGCCUGUUCUGAGCUCUCUCUCUCUCUCUCUCUCUCUCUCUCUCUCUCUCUCUCUCUCUCUCUCUCUCUCUCUCUCUCUCUCUCUCUCUCUCUCUCUCUCUCUCUCUCUCUCUCUCUCUCUCUCUCUCUCUCUCUCUCUCUCUCUCUCUCUCUCUCUCUCUCUGUGUGUGUGUGUUGAGGAUGCCCUUCCCCCACACACUCUCUCCCCCGGCUUAUCGUUAUCUUACUUGCCCCAUCGUUCUCUCCUUCUCUCUCAUAUGAUUAGCUCGUUCAUUGUGUUGCCUCUCUCUUCUCACCCGCCAUGCCCCCACUUCCCAGCCUCCCACUCGCUGCCUCACCUGUUGUUAAGUAACACGUGAUGCUGGGUUGCAGUUGCUACGCCCACAAGAAAACAAAGAGACCAGGGAAGAUGUGUAAUGUAAGAUAUAUUUAUAUAUAUAUAUACAAGAUAUGUAUACGAGUGACUGUAUAUAUAUUAUAUAUAUGUAUAUAUAUGACUGGCAAGCGUGUGCUCUCAAUCCACAAUCCAUUUUUGCAUUACAUUAUAGGAUCAUUACUGGCUGCCUAAUUCCAUCUCAUCAAGUCUCAUUAUCCAUCAAGCUCGCAUAGACCGGCCCCUGGGUUUCUCUUGGAUAUCAAUUUGGUGUGAAUGCAUUAUACAUGAUGAUCACCAUAUCUCCAGCCACAAGGAGAAUGCCGCCGUGUUUGUGUCGAGGUUCUUGUGCAUUCUAAUGAGGUUUCAUGUUUAAGUGUUUUUUUCAGAUUCAUACAAAAGGCAGGGAAAUAAUGGGUGUGGGUAGGGGAUGUGUGUAGGGCUGAUGGACAAUUCGUGGAAUGCAAAUUAUAAGAACCUAAGCUUGCGGCCGUGGUCAGAGAAAUGGCUUCAAAUUUGAAUGUAGUGCUAAGAAUUAAUGUCACUGACCGUGGCAGCGGUACAUACAAUUCUUAAUGAAAACGGACACAGCCAAAGAAUUGAAUGGGCUUAUUAUUAUAGCAAUCAAAACCAGAUGUAUUGACAUUUAAACUAAGCCUGAAAAGAAGUUCUGCCUGCUUGAUCAUUAGAACACAUUCCUAGAAAAUAGUUAGGGGAAGGCUAGGCUGGGCCUAGUAUCUUGGCUGCUAUUGCAAUUUCCUACUGAAGAAGCAAACGUAUCCAAAUCAAUUGUGUUUCUCCACAAUGUAACAAAUUGGUUAGCAAAAAGGAUGUCUAAUUUAUCUGUAUUAAAUCAACCCUGACCAGCAAUACAAAAUUCUAGAAUUUGCAAUAUACGUUUCGUAUCCAAAACAAUUAUUUCAAAUUCGACGGAAUACGGCAGAAUAUGCAUUGGCUGAAAUGGCCACCAUAUUUUUCUUCAGACAAGCAUUCUUGCUUCUGAGCUCAUAUUGGUUUCCUGCAAACUGGUUGGUUUUCCCUGCACUAUAGGUUCUAGUGAUAUGGCCUUGAUCCAAAGCAAAAAACCUUGUGUUUGGCUAGUACUGUACUAUGUGGUAUGGGGGUAAUGCAGUAGACAAUAGACUUACAAUUUGCUUAAACAUUAUAAUCUGAACAUUGAAGUUGCCAUGUUCCUCAUUAUUUCCCACAGUGCAGUGCAACUACAAGCCAUAAGAUGCCUACGGUUAUGUCCUCAACCUGAGCAAACAGGCAGGAUCUGGGUCAUUGCAAUAUAAAAAAGGAAAGAUUAUGUAUGAUAUGAAGUUAGCCCAAUUCUAUCCAAUGCUCCACUAAUCCAUUAACAAAGACCUACAAGUAAUGCAACUUCCCCAUGCAACUCUAAGGCCAAAGCCAAACUGAAUACAAUGAAGCACUAUAGGGGUUGUAAUACAAUGUAUUUGCAUUGUUAUUAGGUAUCUACAGAGUGUCUUUGGAUACCUAUUGUUAUUCAAGGGUUUAGGUAUUAUUAUUAAUCCGGAUUUGUACGCCUAUAGCUCAGCCCCUGAUAGAAAAUAAGUUUUCAACUUUGUCUAUGACUUUUGUAUUCCUGGUGAGCAGGUCGCCGAAAAAGGUUGGUGGCAAUUUUCCAAUAUGGGGCGCUUUAAUCAAACUAUCAGCCCCGCCGCCUGGUGGAUUUGUAUUUCUGAAACAUGCCUUAUUGUACAUGUUGAGAAAUGUUGCCUCUUGGAUUUGUUAUGUACCCGUUUGUGUGAGUGUGUGUAUGUGUCUGAAGUGUCUGUGUUUGUGUGCGUGUAUCUUCGGGAGUAAAAAGAUAUUGAGUGCUGAACAACAUAGACCCCCCCCUGUCGUUGCGUCUCGGAGUAAUGACCGUGAUCUGCUUGAAAAGGGCGGUCGCUGGUUAUUUAUAUUUUUUUGUAUAUUGAAUAAAUCUGUCAAUGUGAUCUUUGCUCAGGAUCUGCCAGCUGUCCCCCCCCCAUAAGCAGGCCGUCAAAAAAACGCGUCUCUGUAGGCAGCCUAUGCUCCGAGAUCGUACACAAAAAAAAUGUAUACUACCAACCACUCAAAACCAAAAUAAAUAGUAUUCCAACCAAUCACCGACAAGAGGUGGGUGUUGUGGGGUCUUGCGCUCAUUAUAGUUUUUACUGGAUGCACGAAAAAUGGAAGGGAGGGGCUAGCUGGCUCUGUUUGUUUGGGAUCUCGCUUCAAAUACCAACAGAAGUGACGUCCCCCAACAUCGCUGAUACAACCUUUAAGAUAUUUUACACAAUAAAGCAAUGCUGCAGACCAUUGGUAUUUGAACAGGCUUGAUUGUCACUGACACUGUACAAGAUCAUUUGAUGAUCAAGUUUGAUUUAUUUAUUUGCACAAUACAAUAAAAGUAGUGGAUGGUGAACAUUGGCAGAGGGAGCACGUUUCCAUCGGCAUUAGAAGACAUUUUGAGCGAUGUACCGAUACAAGUUCAGGAGAGGGACAGAUAACCCAGAGAGUCCCUCCACUCUAGCCCCAUGGGCCCCUGCUGUCUGUUUGAACCAUGUAUGGAUAUAUGUCACGCUAUGGGAACACAUUUGGAUGCCAUCCACGAUCGCUGGGGGCCUAGGCUAAAUCCAACCAUAACAUUACGUGAUAACCGAUGGUCAAAUAAAGGAUGGAUAUUAAAUAAAUAGUCACACUCCUCAUCUAAAGCCAGAACGGGGAGGCAUACUCAGCGUUCCAAAGGCGGGUCUGUUGGUGAUAAUGGCUGGACACUGACUGAUGAUUCCUAACUAUUGUCCCCUCAAUAACGCCAUUGUUUUGGCUUUUCAGCUUUCAUUUAACAUCGCUAGACCAACCGUAGGUUUUCUCCUAAGUUCCCCUUUUAAGACGCUUCAUUAUGGAGUGUGAAUAUCCAAUAUAUUACAAACCAUAACUAGCUUUGACAAGAUCAGUACACAAUGCCCAUGGAUCAUUCAACCGUUUGCUUGCCUUACUAUUUACAUUGUGUAUGUACACCCUUGGGUUGCAUACAAUCUCAGCAAUCAAUUGCGUACAAAACAGGACUGAGUUGAGUUAACAGCUCAGCAAGAUCUUUCCUACAGUAACAGAUAGAUGGUUAUAGUCAUUGCAGCUCUUGCACGUCAAGAUUUUCCAUUUUCAAACGCUGGUGUCUCCUAUGGAUCUAACAUGGUUUUAGUCAACGUUUCCUUGGGAAGAAUGAGUUCUCCUGUAAGCAUUAGUUUAUUUUCCUUGAUUAAUAUGCAAUGGAAUUCCUGUAUUUUAACCAUUGAUGUCAUGUUUUGUGUUGUUAUUUUCAUGUACAGAGAAUUGGAUUCAACCUUGGGCUCUCUGUACAAUGAUUUGAUCCCUCAGCGUCUAGGGUGCUUCCCUCGUCAACAACAUAGGAACAACCAGGGAUAAAACCGACGAAGCAUAACAAAAAAUAAACAUGAUGGGUAAUAAAAGCCAUAGAAAGAAAAUGUCCACAGUAAUGUAAGAAGCGUCGCCCAAUUUAAAGGAAGUUGCUCAUGUGCAUCUGAGACUGCAUAUUAUAAGGCGGCUGAAAACUGCCAAUCAUCACAACCAAUUUUAACGUGCAUAUUGUAUUAUACUGUUUGUGUGUGCAUGCAAAAAACA
Molecule: long non-coding RNA, 4443 nt
Organism: Gadus macrocephalus (Pacific cod)
Lineage: Eukaryota; Metazoa; Chordata; Actinopteri; Gadiformes; Gadidae
Exons: 2
Source: RefSeq, a predicted model, not a curated record